GGAGGAAAGCAGGGGAUCGCAAGACCUUGCGCUUUUGGAGUGGCCGAUGCCUGAUUAGCUAGUUGGUGGGGUAAUGGCCUACCAAGGCGACGAUCAGUAGUUGGUCUGAGAGGACGACCAGCCACACUGGGACUGAGACACGGCCCAGACUCCUACGGGAGGCAGCAGUGGGGAAUUUUGGACAAUGGGCGAAAGCCUGAUCCAGCAAUGCCGCGUGAGUGAAGAAGGCCUUCGGGUUGUAAAGCUCUUUCAGUCGAGAAGAAAAGGUUGUGACUAAUAAUCACAACUCAUGACGGUAUCGACAGAAGAAGCACCGGCUAACUACGUGCCAGCAGCCGCGGUAAUACGUAGGGUGCGAGCGUUAAUCGGAAUUACUGGGCGUAAAGGGUGCGCAGGCGGCCUUGUAAGUCAGAUGUGAAAUCCCCGGGCUUAACCUGGGAAC
Molecule: ribosomal RNA, 442 nt
Filed under: uncultured ammonia-oxidizing beta proteobacterium
Lineage: Bacteria; Pseudomonadati; Pseudomonadota; Betaproteobacteria
Description: bacterial SSU rRNA
Rfam family: Bacterial small subunit ribosomal RNA
Source: RNAcentral